Molecule: non-coding RNA, 1369 nt
Organism: Oryzias latipes (Japanese medaka)
Lineage: Eukaryota; Metazoa; Chordata; Actinopteri; Beloniformes; Adrianichthyidae
Source: RefSeq, a predicted model, not a curated record
CUCUCUCUGUCUCUCUCUCUGUCUCUGUAUCUAUAGAUCUAUAGAUCUUCAGCAACAUUCCAAACAGCAGGAAUGAAUUGUCUGGCAGGUUCAGUUUAAAUGAACGAGAGCUAAAAUAUGUACAAAAUGCCUCUACUUCAGAUCUACAGGCAAACCAGGGCAGAUAUUUUUCCAAGCAAAAAGUUCAAAGUGUGUUCAAAGCUGUUGUUGAACCAAAGCUCAGCUGCACAUGAAGUCUCUUUAUCAGGGCUGUGCUGUGGACGGGAGAUGGCUCACCUGUGCUGUCACCGGGCUGGUCCAUUUUAUACUGAGGGGUGGAGUAGAAGUUCAGACAGGGCGGUCCAUUCUCUGUCGCCAUGAAGUCGAGGGACGUCCCAUUUGAGCCUUUGUCGGUUCGUCUGCUUUCAUGACGGAUUCUCUGACCAAAGCUCACGCCUACGCCAAAGCCACAGAACCAAAGCCAACGCCACAGAACCAAAGCCAACGCCACAGAACCAAAGCCGAAGCCAGAGGAACCAAAGCCGAAGCCACAGAACCAAAGCCACAGAACCAAAGCCAUAAGAGCCAAACCCAACGCCACAGAACCAAAGCCACAGAACCAAAGCCAAAGACACAGAACCAAAGCCAAAACCACAGAACCGAAGCCAAAGACACAGAACCAAAGCCAAAACCACAGAACCGAAGCCACAGAACCAAAGCUGAAGCCACAGAACCAAAGCUGAAGCCACAGAACCAAAGCCACAGAACCAAAGCCAUAAGAGCCAAACCCAACGCCACAGAACCAAAGCCACAGAACCAAAGCCAAAGACACAGAACCAAACCCAAAGACACAGAACCAAAGCCAAAGACACAGAACCAAAGCCAAAGACACAGAACCAAAGCCAAAGCCACAGAACCGAAGCCACAGAACCAAAGCUGAAGCCACAGAACCAAAGCCACAGAACCAAAGCUGAAGCAACAGAACCAAAGCCAUAAGAGCCAAACCCAACGCCACAGAACCAAAGACACAGAACCAAAGCCAAAGACACAGAACCAAAGCCAAAGCCACAGAACCGAAGCCACAGAACCAAAGCUGAAGCCACAGAACCAAAGCCACAGAACAGAAGCCGAAGCCACGACAGAACCAAAGCUAAAGCCACGACAGAACCAAAGCUGAAGCCACGACAGAACCAGAGCCAACGUCAAAGAACCCUAGUCAAUGCCGAAGAACCAAAACCUGCACCGAAGAACUUAAGCCAAACCUCUUCCUCAUUCAAUAAAUCUCACACCUCCAAACUAAAUCCCUGACUGCUUUUUGGGUCUUGCUUACACCAAACCUAACAGUAAAACAUCCCUUUGGUGCUUUUUCUUACUGAUAAAGUCCCAAAGU